This 504-nucleotide ribosomal RNA is filed under the name uncultured bacterium. RNAcentral's name for it is "partial 16S ribosomal RNA". It matches the Rfam family "Bacterial small subunit ribosomal RNA", at positions 28 to 507 of the family's 1533-position model. The record is from RNAcentral.
GACGAACGCUGGCGGCGUGCUUAACACAUGCAAGUCGAACGGUGAAGCGCUUGCCUUUUUGGUGGGUGUGGAUGAGUGGCGAACGGGUGAGUAACACGUGAGUAACCUGCCCUCUUCUUCUGGAUAACCUCAUGAAAGUGGGGCUAAUACGGGGUAUUCCGGGUCUGUCGCAUGGCGGGUUUGGGAAAGAUUGCGCCUUUGGGUGUUUUCGGUGGGGGAUGGGCUCGCGGCCUAUCAGCUUGUUGGUGGGGUGAUGGCCUACCAAGGCGGUGACGGGUAGCCGGCCUGAGAGGGUGGACGGCCACACUGGGACUGAGACACGGCCCAGACUCCUGCGGGAGGCAGCAGUGGGGAAUAUGGCGCAAUGGGCGCAAGCCUGAUGCAGCGACGCCGUGUGAGGGAUGGAGGCCUUCGGGUUGUGAACCUCUUUCGCCAGUGAAGCAGGCCUGCUCCUGUGUGGGUGGGUUGACGGUAGCUGGAUAAGAAGCGCCGGCUAACUACGUG